Molecule: non-coding RNA, 24 nt
Filed under: Arabidopsis thaliana (thale cress)
Lineage: Eukaryota; Viridiplantae; Streptophyta; Magnoliopsida; Brassicales; Brassicaceae
Source: RNAcentral
CGGGCCUUGCCCUUCAUGCCCAGU